RNAcentral lists this ribosomal RNA (252 nucleotides) under uncultured bacterium. RNAcentral's name for it is "partial 16S ribosomal RNA". It matches the Rfam family "Bacterial small subunit ribosomal RNA", at positions 524 to 776 of the family's 1533-position model. The record is from RNAcentral.
UACGUAGGGGGCUAGCGUUAUCCGGAAUUACUGGGCAUAAAGGGUGCGUAGGUGGUUUCUUAAGUCAGAGGUGAAAGGCUACGGCUCAACCGUAGUAAGCCUUUGAAACUGGGAAACUUGAGUGCAGGAGAGGAGAGUGGAAUUCCUAGUGUAGCGGUGAAAUGCGUAGAUAUUAGGAGGAACACCAGUUGCGAAGGCGGCUCUCUGGACUGUAACUGACACUGAGGCACGAAAGCGUGGGGAGCAAACAGG